CUUUGGCGCAACAGUUGCUUGGUUUAAACACAAACCUAAUGAGUCAGACUUGCCCAUACUAGGCCCAGAUGCAAAUAGACUGUAGCAACAAAAAGUCGGUACUUUUAUUGGGAUUUACACCAACAUUCUUCUGCACUAUCUCUCUUAACAGUUUUCUGGAAAACUAUAUAUUGCUGUUUGCGUAAUCCCGCGGACAGACAGCUAACAAAAACACCUGUGGUUGGCCCGCAUUAAUAAGGAGUCAUACCUGCGGGGCGCCUACAGUUGACAGUUUAAUUUCUGCAAAUUUGCCACCAUUAUGUGGACAACAUGAGUAAAUCUAGUUAAUGACCAUGGAUUGUACACUUUAUUCACUUCUAUGACCCAAUCCAAACAGCCAUUCCCACACAUGGUGCUAACUGCAGCCAACACAAAUAGUCAACAUACAUGGUCACACAUAACACUAUCUGCUCACUGAACUUUUUGGAUGUUAUAAAAAAAAGUCCAAGCACCACAGAAAAUUCAAAUUAAAACCGCUUAAAUCCAGUAAAAUGCACAAUGAGAAAAAUUCAGAACACUCUAAACACAUAGCCAUGUUUACAAGGUGAAGUCAAACUUUCACAUACUCUUAAUGUCCAAUCAUAUUAAUCAUUAGCUAUAUAUCUCUAAUAUAUAUAUAUGUGUGUGUGUGUACAGUAUAUAUAUGUUUAUAUAUGUAUAAAUGUGUGUGUACAGUUUAUAUAUGCAUGUAUAUGUGUAUGUAUGUAUAUAUAUAUAUAUAUAUAUAUAUGUAUAAUAUAUAUAUCUUUGUAUGUAUAUAUGUGUGUGUGUGUGUGUGUGUGUGUAUAUGUGUGUGUGUAUGUAUAUAUGUAUGUGUAUGUAUAUAUGUAUAUGUGUGUACAUAUAUAUGUAUGUGUAUGUAUGUGUAUGUAUAUGUAUGUAUGUAAAUAUGCAUGUGUGUAUGUAUAUAUAUAUAUAUAUGUGUAUAUGUAUAUGAAUGUGUGUAUAUAUAGUAGGGCUGCAACAACUAAUAGAUUAAAAUCAAUUAUAAAAAUAGUUGGUGAUUAAUUUAGUCAUCGAUUCGUUGGAUGUAUGCAAUGCGCAUGCGCUGAGGCUCUUUUUUUAAAUAUUUUUUUUAUUUUUUCCCCCUAAACCUUUGUUUAUAAACUGCGACAUUUACAAACAGCUGAGAAACAAUAAUCAAAAUAAGCACAAAAACAGUACAAAACAGUGCCAGGGCGGCGCUGAGGCUACGUCUCAUGUGGUGGCAGUGAGCCACCCAAGGAUGUGUCAUGUGCAGCUCACGUGACCACGCCGUAUCCUUUGCCUGGAAACAUUUGAAAAAUGGCGGAGGUAAACAGGAUCGAUAGUUCAGCGGAGAAACAUCUUGAGGUUAAUGCUUCAAUGGAGAAAAGUGUACGACUACGACCUAAGUUGUCCAAAGUGUCUGAAAACUUUACUUUAAACACUGCAAAGAAGACAGUUUCCUGCAAAAUGUGCAGCAUAGACAUUGCCUGGCACGGAAGGACAACAUUGCUUCGGGAGCACCUGAAGAGGAGCAAUGGAUGAAGGGAAGAACUCACGAAAAAAACAAGGCAGCAUUAGCGACUUGGUACAAAGGAAGUUGUGCACACCACAGCAAGCGGCUGCACUGACUGAUGCUACCUGAAUAUGUUGUUAACUGACAAGAGGCCACUAUCAAUGGUGGAGGAUGAAAGUUUUAGACAAAUGAUUCACGUCCUCAACCCUGGUUACACUCUUCCCUUGAGGACCCAUUUUACCAAAGUGAUAGAGAGGAAGUACGAGCAAACAUUCCAAGCAGUGCAAACUGCCAUAAAGGCCACACAGAGCAAAUUGCUCUCAUUACUGAUGUGUGGACAAGUGUAGCCUACCUUGGCAAUACAUGCCAUUACAUUGGAGACAAAUGGAACAUGAAGUCAAUCUGCCUUACGACCAUUCCACUAGAGGAAAGACAUUCAGCAUCCAACACUACAGAGUGGUUGGAAUAGGUAGUAGACAGGUUUGAAAUUCUCCUAAGCAAAAUUACUGCUAUUGUGCUUGACAAUGGUGCACUUUAUAAAUAAAAAACAAACAUUUUUGUAACACUUGCCUUGUUUUAUUUGGCAAGUCGAAAGGACAUGGUGCCAGUAUGCUGUUUUUUAAAAUAAAGUAUUGAAAA
Nerophis ophidion (straightnose pipefish) is the source of this 2158-nucleotide long non-coding RNA. RefSeq lists it as uncharacterized. The transcript has 2 exons. The record is from RefSeq and is a predicted model, not a curated record. NCBI's taxonomy places the organism in Eukaryota, Metazoa, Chordata, Actinopteri, Syngnathiformes, Syngnathidae.